RNAcentral lists this unclassified non-coding RNA (248 nucleotides) under Glomus sp. Its description in RNAcentral is "partial contains 5.8S ribosomal RNA and internal transcribed spacer 2". The stretch from base 1 to 65 matches the Rfam family "5.8S ribosomal RNA", at positions 84 to 154 of the family's 154-position model. Lineage: Eukaryota; Fungi; Glomeromycota; Glomeromycetes; Glomerales; Glomeraceae. The record is from RNAcentral.
GUGAAUCAUCGAAUUUUUGAACGCAAAUUGCACUCUCUUCUAAGAGGAUGCCUGUUUGAGGGUCAGCCUAAGAAAAAUCGACAUAGUCGCUGUUGCGCGGUGACAUUCGUCAUAAGGUGGGUCAUCUUAAACCUUUGGGUUUUUUAAGCUGCUUAAAAUGUUCUUUUCGAUUCCACGAACGUUUCUAAGAAUUUACUUCUUACACACGUUGAAGGUAUCGAUCGUUAUUAAACUUGACCGUUGCAUCG